UAUGGUCAAGUUACUAAGGGUACAUGGGGAAUGUCUAGGCGUCGAGAGGCGAUGAAGGACGUGGCAGGCUGCGAUAAGCCCGGGGCAGGAGCCUAGCAUCCGUUAAUCCCGGGAUUUCCGAAUGGGGAAACCCGUCGUCACUGGGCAACCAGAUGGCGUCAUCUAUGGCUGAAUGCAUAGGCCAUACGAAGCGAACGCAGGGAACUGAAACAUCUCAGUACCUGUAGGAAAAGAAAUCAACCGAGACUCCGUCAGUAGCGGCGAGCGAAGGCGGAAGAGCCCAAACCGGAGAGCUUGCUUUCUGGGGUUGCGGGCGCCGGUAAACAGUUACAAAGGCAUCGCAAGCAGAACGGUCUGGAAAGUCCGACCACAGAAGGUGAUAGUCCUGUAUGCGAAAGCGAAAGCCCUGUGUUACUGCCGGUGUACCAGAGUAGCACGGAGCUCGUGGAACUCUGUGUGAAGCUGGGGGGCCCACCCUCCAAGGCUAAGUACUCCUCGACGACCGAUAGUGAAAAGUAAGGCGACUGAAAGAUGAAAAGUACCCCUAUUAGGGGAGUUAAAAGUACCUGAAACCAUGUACCUACAAGCUGUGGGAGCCCUAUGGUUUCCCGCUUCGGCGGGAUUCAAUGGGUGACCGCGUGCCUUUUGCAUAAUGAGCCGGCGAGUUACCGUUUGCGGCAAGGUUAAGUCCCUCAGGGAUGGAGCCGUAGCGAAAGCGAGUCUGAAUAGGGCGAUUUAGUCGCAGGUGGUAGACGCGAAGCCAAGUGAUCUACCCAUGGCCAGGUUGAAAGGGAUGUAAGAGUCCCUGGAGGACCGAACUCAUUAACGUUGAAAAGUUAUGGGAUGAGCUGUGGGGAGGAGUAAAAGUCUAAUCAAACUUGGAGAUAUCUCGUUCUCUCCGAAAUAGCUUUAGGGCUAGCCUCGGGCAACUACUCUACGGGGGUAGAGCUACUGAAUGGGGAUGGGGGGCCACCAGCCUACCCACCCCAACCAAACUCCGAAUACCGUAGAGACUAUCCCGGGAGUCAGUCUGUGGGGGAUAACCUCCAUGGUCGAGAGGGAAACAACCCAGAUCGCCAGCUAAGGUCCCGAAGUUCUGUUAAGUUCUUAAGGAAGUUGAAUUGCUGUGACAGCCAGGAUGUUGGCUUAGAAGCAGCCACCAUUUAAAAA
RNAcentral lists this ribosomal RNA (1170 nucleotides) under Planctomycetes bacterium RBG_16_55_9. Its description in RNAcentral is "bacterial LSU rRNA". It matches the Rfam family "Bacterial large subunit ribosomal RNA", at positions 1 to 1129 of the family's 2925-position model. Lineage: Bacteria; Pseudomonadati; Planctomycetota. The record is from RNAcentral.